This 440-nucleotide ribosomal RNA is filed under the name uncultured bacterium. RNAcentral's name for it is "partial 16S ribosomal RNA". It matches the Rfam family "Bacterial small subunit ribosomal RNA", at positions 338 to 795 of the family's 1533-position model. The record is from RNAcentral.
CCUACGGGAGGCAGCAGUGGGGAAUAUUGCACAAUGGGGGAAACCCUGAUGCAGCGACGCCGCGUGAGUGAAGAAGUAUUUCGGUACGUAAAGCUCUAUCAGCAGGGAAGAAAAUGACGGUACCUGACUAAGAAGCCCCGGCUAACUACGUGCCAGCAGCCGCGGUAAUACGUAGGGGGCAAGCGUUAUCCGGAUUUACUGGGUGUAAAGGGAGCGUAGACGGCAGCGCAAGUCUGGAGUGAAAUCCCAUGGCUUAACCAUGGAACUGCUUUGGAAACUGUGCAGCUAGAGUGCAGGAGAGGUAAGCGGAAUUCCUAGUGUAGCGGUGAAAUGCGUAGAGAUUAGGAGGAACACCAGUGGCGAAGGCGGCUUACUGGACUGUAACUGACGUUGAGGCUCGAAAGCGUGGGGAGCAAACAGGAUUAGAUACCCGAGUAGUC